RNAcentral lists this ribosomal RNA (671 nucleotides) under uncultured cyanobacterium. Its description in RNAcentral is "bacterial SSU rRNA". It matches the Rfam family "Bacterial small subunit ribosomal RNA", at positions 118 to 819 of the family's 1533-position model. The record is from RNAcentral. Lineage: Bacteria; Bacillati; Cyanobacteriota.
UGAGAAUCUGCCUAGAGGUCGGGGACAACCAUUGGAAACGAUGGCUAAUACCGGAUAUGCCUUACGGGGUGAAAGAUUAAUUGCCUUUAGAAGAGCUCGCGUCUGAUUAGCUAGUUGGUGAGGUAAGAGCUCACCAAGGCAGCGAUCAGUGGCUGGUCUGAGAGGAUGACCAGCCACACUGGGACUGAGACACGGCCCAGACUCCUACGGGAGGCAGCAGUGGGGAAUUUUCCGCAAUGGGCGAAAGCCUGACGGAGCAAGACCGCGUGAGGGAGGAAGGCUCUUGGGUUGUAAACCUCUUUUGUCAGGGAAGAACAAAAUGACGGUACCUGACGAAUCAGCAUCGGCUAACUCCGUGCCAGCAGCCGCGGUAAUACGGAGGAUGCAAGCGUUAUCCGGAAUUAUUGGGCGUAAAGCGUCCGCAGGUGGCUGAUCAAGUCUGCGGUCAAAGACCGGGGCUUAACCCUGGAAAGGCCGUGGAAACUGAUAGAGCUAGAGUACCGUAGGGGUAGAGGGAAUUCCCGGUGUAGCGGUGAAAUGCGUAGAGAUCGGGAAGAACAUCGGUGGCGAAAGCGCUCUACUGGACGGUGACUGACACUCAGGGACGAAAGCUAGGGGAGCGAAUGGGAUUAGAUACCCCAGUAGUCCUAGCCGUAAACGAUGGAUACUAG